AGGACGAACGCUGGCGGCGUGCUUAACACAUGCAAGUGGAGCGACGAACCAGGGCUUGCCCUGGGGCAGAGCCGCGAACGGGUGAGUAACACGUGGGUUACCUGCCUCGAUGACCGGGACAACCCGAAGAAAACUCGGGCUAAUACCGGAUGUGCCCGCAAGGGGAAAGGAAGCUUCGGCCUCCGCAUCGAGAUGGGCCCGCGGCCCAUUAGCUUGUUGGUGAGGUAAUGGCUCACCAAGGCUUCGAUGGGUAGCUGGUCUGAGAGGACGAUCAGCCACACUGGGACUGAGACACGGCCCAGACUCCUACGGGAGGCAGCAGUGGGGAAUCUUGCGCAAUGCGCGAAAGCGUGACGCAGCAACGCCGCGUGGGGGAAGAAGGCUUUCGGGUUGUAACCCCUUUCAGUUGGGACGAAGCUUCGGCGGUUAAUAGCUGUCUGGAGUGACGGUACCUUCACAAGAAGCACCGGCUAACUACGCGCCAGCAGCCGCGGU
Molecule: ribosomal RNA, 495 nt
Filed under: uncultured bacterium
Lineage: Bacteria
Description: SSU rRNA
Rfam family: Bacterial small subunit ribosomal RNA
Source: RNAcentral